AUGCAGCCACAUAGCAUGUCUGGCCUCUGUGGAUCGUCCACACGAAGCUCCCGGUCUGAUCGACUCCUCACGAGUGCUAGCUCAUUGUAGAGCCCUUUUGACGAUCGAUGCUGAUCGAACUCCUUCGAUCGAUGUCUGUCGAUUCUUUGGAUGCUCCAGAUCAUCAAUAGAUAUACUUGAGAGGAUGUUGAAGAUCUUCCUGAGAUUUUGUGGGCUCACGACACUCGUAGCUCACUUUCUCACUUCCCGAACCCCAGGCUAAAACUCUAGGAAACUCACCGAAAACCUUGCACCCACUUUUCUUUCUUUUCUUUCUUUUUUUCUUGGAAGGAUAUGGACUUCCUUCUCAUGCACAAGACUUCUCACACCCCAAAAUUUUUCUCUAAAAAUCUUCUUAUUGCACACCCCACUUUUCUCCUUUUAUAACAACGUCAAACGUCUUAUCCAAAAGAAAGGAUAAAGAUGAGUAAUUGCACAUUUGAAUUCAAAUCAAAUUUUGAAUUCAAAUGGACACCAACUCAUCCCUUAUCCACUAAAGGCGUGAGGCGUGGCUUAAAUUGUGCAUGAAGUGAUUUCAUGAGAAACCUUUUCUCAUGUAAUAAAUGGGGCAUAAAAAAAGAGAUAAGGUGCAAAGAUUGAUUGCCCAUUCAAAUUCAAACUUUAUUUUGAAUUUGAAUGGCCAACCAAUCAUCCUUAUCCAUUUAUAUGGCACAUUAAAGUGGGGCAUGGAGAGGGCUUGGCAUGAGAAAAUAAUUCAUGAGAAGUUCCUUCUCAUGAAUUCAAAUGGGUGCAAUGGAAGUGAGGUGGCGCAUGGAGAUUGGGUCAAAGUGGUUUAAUUAUUUAAACCAACCUAAUUGAACCAAAUAAGUUAGGUCCAAUUAGACUAAUUUAAACCCAACUUAAUUAGGCUUAAUUAGGCUCAAUAAAAUUCUAAUCAAAUCAGGAAUUGACUAAGCCCAACCCCUGAUCAAAUCAGGGACCAAACCAUCUUGACGAUUAGGUCAACUCUUAACCUAAUCGGGUCAACCCAACUGAAUCCAAUUCAAUUGGACUUGAUCCAAAAAUAAUUACUCAAUCAAAUUGAGUUAAUUAGUGAUCAAAUUACUAAUUAAACCUCUCAUAAAUACUGAAUCCAAAUCCGAUGGGCAAUCGAGCAUCAGAAUUCAUCGAUAUGUAAUCCUGAUCGAAAAGUCCCAACCAGUGGGACUCUUGAUCCUGGUACCCAUAAUGUGUGGAACUCAUGAUCAGAGAAUCUUGAUUCUCAAUCACUGAGUCCCAAACAUGUAGGAUUCUACAUCAGCCAUCAGAUCAGAUAGGAACCUCUAAUGUGUGUGACCCCGUAGGUUCGAACCUAAGCCGGUAGCACAGGAACCAAUUCCUGUACUAAUCGAAGUGACCAUUUAGUAAUGGUACCCGAUAUCUGGAUAGGUCGAAGAGUUAUAAUCGCAACACUCAGAACCUACAUGAAUAUGGUUACUGUAUAAUUCAUCCUUUUGACCCCUGUGUUUAGGAUGACUCAGGGUUAAACUGUCAACCCUGAUCAGAUCAUUCGAAUCGUGCUCAACUCAAACAGUCCUGUGACUCCUCACAAGGACUACCCUGGCCAAGGUUUUGCUAAAUUGAAACAUGACUGUACACAGCUCCUAAACUGGAGUGGUCAAUCCCAUCUUGACACACGCACCGAUAAAUCAAGUACUUGACUACACCCAGCAGCCUUCCGUCAUUGAAUUAGAAAUUCAGAUAGUCCAGUGCCUAAGUGCAGUGAGUUGCUUGCAAGUCACCGUGGUGGUCUCAGGUCGGAGGGAUAUUUAUACCCAUAUUCCAUCGGAGCAAAUCUUGACAGCAAAAAUAGCUCCAGAGUCGGUCACGUUCAGUACAGAUGUACCCUUACAUCUCACCUGUAUGCCAUACCAGUGUCUCCACACUCAUUGGUCAAGAGGACAACCAACCUAUAUGGCACACAACGACCUAUGCUUGAUAAACGUUGUCGUCCUUGGUAACAACGUAUCAUUUGAUCGCGAACAGAUUUAAGGACUAAAUGACAAAUCUUCCUUU
RNAcentral lists this long non-coding RNA (2055 nucleotides) under Elaeis guineensis (African oil palm). RNAcentral's name for it is "long non-coding RNA (EGUI_LNC068288)". The record is from RNAcentral. Lineage: Eukaryota; Viridiplantae; Streptophyta; Magnoliopsida; Arecales; Arecaceae.